RNAcentral lists this ribosomal RNA (497 nucleotides) under uncultured bacterium. RNAcentral describes it as "partial 16S ribosomal RNA". It matches the Rfam family "Bacterial small subunit ribosomal RNA", at positions 28 to 507 of the family's 1533-position model. The record is from RNAcentral.
GAUGAACGCUGGCGGCGUGCCUAAUACAUGCAAGUCGAGCGAACGGACGAGAAGCUUGCUUCUCUGAUGUUAGCGGCGGACGGGUGAGUAACACGUGGAUAACCUACCUAUAAGACUGGGAUAACUUCGGGAAACCGGAGCUAAUACCGGAUGAUAUUUUGAACCGCAUGGUUCAAAAGUGAAAGACGGUCUUGCUGUCACUUAUAGAUGGAUCCGCGCUGCAUUAGCUAGUUGGUAAGGUAACGGCUUACCAAGGAAACGAUGCAUAGCCGACCUGAGAGGGUGAUCGGCCACACUGGAACUGAGACACGGUCCAGACUCCUACGGGAGGCAGCAGUAGGGAAUCUUCCGCAAUGGGCGAAAGCCUGACGGAGCAACGCCGCGUGAGUGAUGAAGGUCUUCGGAUCGUAAAACUCUGUUAUUAGGGAAGAACAUAUGUGUAAGUAACUGUGCACAUCUUGACGGUACCUAAUCAGAAAGCCACGGCUAAAUACGUG